AAUUUUGGACAAUGGGCGAAAGCCUGAUCCAGCAAUGCCGCGUGCAGGAUGAAGGCCUNCGGGUUNUNAACUGCUUUUGUACAGGNAGAAAACAUACUACGUGUAGUAAAUUGACGGUACUGUAAGAAUAAGGAUCGGCUAACUCCGUGCCAGCAGCCGCGGUAAUACGGAGGAUCCAAGCGUUAUCCGGAAUCAUUGGGUUUAAAGGGUCCGUAGGCGGCCUUAUAAGUCAGCGGUGAAAGUUUUUGGCUUAACCAAAAAAUUGCCGUUGAUACUGUAGGGCUUGAAUUUUUGUGAAGUAACUAGAAUAUGUAGUGUAGCGGUGAAAUGCUUAGAUAUUACAUGGAAUACCAAUUGCGAAGGCAGGUUACUAACAAACGAUUGACGCUGAUGGACGAAAGCGUGGGUAGCGAACAG
RNAcentral lists this ribosomal RNA (417 nucleotides) under uncultured bacterium. Its description in RNAcentral is "partial 16S ribosomal RNA". It matches the Rfam family "Bacterial small subunit ribosomal RNA", at positions 360 to 775 of the family's 1533-position model. The record is from RNAcentral.